UACGGGGGGAGCAAGCGUUGUUCGGAUUUACUGGGCGUAAAGGGCGCGUAGGCGGCCAGCACAAGUCAGUUGUGAAAUCUCCGAGCUUAACUCGGAAAGGUCACCUGAUACUGUGCGGCUAGAGUGCGGAAGGGGCAACUGGAAUUCUUGGUGUAGCGGUGAAAUGCGUAGAUAUCAAGAGGAACACCUGCGGCGAAGGCGGGUUGCUGGGCCGACACUGACGCUGAUGCGCGAAAGCUAGGGGAGCGAACGGG
RNAcentral lists this ribosomal RNA (254 nucleotides) under uncultured bacterium. Its description in RNAcentral is "partial 16S ribosomal RNA". It matches the Rfam family "Bacterial small subunit ribosomal RNA", at positions 524 to 776 of the family's 1533-position model. The record is from RNAcentral.